RNAcentral lists this ribosomal RNA (954 nucleotides) under uncultured protist. Its description in RNAcentral is "bacterial SSU rRNA". It matches the Rfam family "Bacterial small subunit ribosomal RNA", at positions 28 to 1020 of the family's 1533-position model. The record is from RNAcentral.
GAUGAACGCUGGCGGUAUGCCUAACACAUGCAAGUCGUACGAGAGUUUUUAACUCAAGUGGCGGACGGGUGAGUAACACGUGAGAAUUUGCCUUUAGGAGGGGGACAACAACUGGAAACGGUUGCUAAUACCCCAUAUGCUUUCGAGUGAAAUGAAUUUAUUCGCCUAAAGAGAAGCUCGCGGCUGAUUAGCUUGUUGGUGGGGUAAGAGCCUACCAAGGCGACGAUCAGUAUCUGGUUUGAGAGGACGAUCAGACACACUGGAACUGAGACACGGUCCAGACUCCUACGGGAGGCAGCAGUGGGGAAUUUUCCGCAAUGGGCGAAAGCCUGACGGAGCAAUACCGCGUGAAGGAAGACGGCCUAUGGGUUGUAAACUUCUUUUUUCAGGGAGGAAUUCAAUGACGUGUACCUGAAGAAUAAGCAUCGGCUAACUCCGUGCCAGCAGCCGCGGUAAGACGGAGGAUGCAAGUGUUAUCCGGAAUCACUGGGCGUAAAGCGUCUGUAGGUUGUUAAACAAGUCAACUGUUAAAUCUUGAGGCUCAACUUCAAAAUCGCAGUCGAAACUGUUUGACUAGAGUAUAGUAGGGGUAAAGGGAAUUUCCAGUGGAGCGGUGAAAUGCGUAGAUAUUGGAAAGAACACCGAUGGCGAAGGCACUUUACUGGGCUAUUACUGACACUCAGAGACGAAAGCUAGGGUAGCAAAUGGGAUUAGAUACCCCAGUAGUCCUAGCCGUAAACAAUGGAUACUAGAUGUUGAACAGAUCGACCUGUGCAGUAUCAAAGCUAACGCGUUAAGUAUCCCGCCUGGGAAGUAUGCUCGCAAGGGUGAAACUCAAAGGAAUUGACGGGGGCCCGCACAAGCGGUGGAGCAUGUGGUUUAAUUCGAUGCAACGCGAAGAACCUUACCAGGGUUUGACAUGAUACGAAUUUUUGUGAAAGCAGAAAGUGCCGU